GAAAAAAUUUUUUUUUUAAAAAAAACCGGGGAAAAAAGGGUAACCUUUUCCCCGGGGGGUUUUUUUUUUAAAAAAAAAUUUAAAAAAAAAUUUUUUUUUUUUGGGGGGGGCCCCCCCUU
Molecule: non-coding RNA, 119 nt
Organism: Cherax quadricarinatus
Lineage: Eukaryota; Metazoa; Arthropoda; Malacostraca; Decapoda; Parastacidae
Source: RefSeq, a predicted model, not a curated record